UGAGAAUCUAUAAUCUUGUAAGAACUAAGAACUAUCUUAGACCAUAGAUUAAGCUUAAUCCAACGGCCUAGAUUAUAAAUUAGGCGAUUAAUUAAUUUACAAUCUUUAAUUUUAGUGCUGCGUUUUUUAUGAACAAGGGUAAUAAUGGAAAAUAUGUUUAAUGUCCUUAUGGUAUGAAUCAUCUUAAAUUUGAUAAAUCAGAAAUGAAUCCCUUAAUUAUAGGGUUGACUCCAUUUGUUUGAAUAAAAAAAAUUCACCUACACUAAAUAAGCUAUCAACAUCAAUCUAUUCAUCUCCACCGCCAUUUUCUACCUAUCAUAGCAAUAAAUAUUCAAGCUCUUACUCCACCAUUUUUUUAACUUUGUUCUUCAACUUUGUUCACGCCGGAAUCGCAAAAAGCGGCGAAUAGAAGACGCCUUUCACCUUGUUCACGCUGGGCUCGGAAGAGCUAGACCAUCCAAUAAGGAAAUAAUAUUGCAAAAUAAGUUGAUAGAAGCAUAGGCGAGAGGUAUGAAUUAAGUACUUGAACAAAUGAGGUAUGCUCAUUAUCUAUUUUUGAUCUAACUUGACAUUAUUUGCGGCCACAAAGUGGAGGCAAAGAGUUCUUCAUAAGGCACAAUUAUAUCGCUAGGAAAGUCAAGCGUGAGGCAGGUAAGAAUGAUGUACUAAUGUUCAUUAAAUUUAGUAAUAUUCACAAUAUUGUUGCUCUUGUUCACCAGUUAUUAUUCAUUAACUGAAAUUGUUCAUUAACUGUAUUGUUGUGCUUGUUCACAAGUUUAGUGUAAUAUUCACGAUAUUGUUGUGCUUGUUCAUGAGUUUCAUUGUUAUUGUUCAUUACCUUAAAUUGUUCAACAUAUAUAUUCAUUUCCAUUAUCGUGAACAGUUGGCACGAAGAGAAUGCACUCAUCCAAACCUGAUACGGCUGAACAAUCAUUGAUUUUUCGGCGACUUCCGUUGAAGCAACGAUAAUUUAUGAACAUCUAUGUUUUACUUUGGGAUUUUCAAUAAUGUAUUUGUUGUUAUUUUUUCCCGUUGCUUUCCGACGACUUGAAGAAAAAAAUUGUUGCGUACAAGGAUGGGUCGUUGUUGGUAUCAUUGUCAUUGUCGUUGUUGGGAUAUUCACGGUAUUGUUGUUUUUGUUCAAAGUGUAAUUUAAUGCUUAUUGUUCGUUACAUUUAGGAUAUAUUCAGUAGAUGUGGGAUAUUCAUUCAUGUAACUAGUGA
Long non-coding RNA from Salvia miltiorrhiza (redroot sage), 1223 nucleotides. RefSeq lists it as uncharacterized. The record is from RefSeq and is a predicted model, not a curated record. The transcript is spliced from 2 exons. NCBI's taxonomy places the organism in Eukaryota, Viridiplantae, Streptophyta, Magnoliopsida, Lamiales, Lamiaceae.